RNAcentral lists this ribosomal RNA (216 nucleotides) under Glomeromycotina sp. Its description in RNAcentral is "partial small subunit ribosomal RNA". The stretch from base 40 to 216 matches the Rfam family "Eukaryotic small subunit ribosomal RNA", at positions 686 to 864 of the family's 1831-position model. Lineage: Eukaryota; Fungi; Glomeromycota. The record is from RNAcentral.
GGGUCAGUAGGUUGGUCGUGCCACCGGUACGUACUGGUCUCACUGAUUCCUCCUUCCUGAAGAACCGUAAUGCCAUUAAUAUGGUGUUGCGGGGAAACAGGACUGUUACUUUGAAAAAAUUAGAGUGUUUAAAGCAAGCUAACGCUUGAAUACAUUAGCAUGGAAUAAUGAAAUAGGACGAUCGAUCCUAUUUUGUUGGUACCUAGGAUUGACGUA